This is a long non-coding RNA of Lolium perenne, 654 nucleotides long. RefSeq lists it as uncharacterized. NCBI's taxonomy places the organism in Eukaryota, Viridiplantae, Streptophyta, Magnoliopsida, Poales, Poaceae. The record is from RefSeq and is a predicted model, not a curated record.
ACAGGGUUAUUUAUUACUUGGAUUUUCUAGGAAUAAAAUUUGCCCAGCAUAUACAUAAACACAUGUACUAAACAACAAUUUUUUUUCUGAAGGAUGUCAGCUCCACGAUUGGAAAAAAGAAGAGGAAGGCCAAGGCAUCAGCCGGCCAGAGAUAUCAUGGAGACAGCAGCCUCGGAUGUAGAAAUAAUUAAAGAUUACUGGGUUAUUUAUUACUUGGAUUUUCUUGGACAAAAAAUUUCUCACCAUACAAUUUGUACAUAAACACAUCUACAACAAUGAUUAUCUCUUCUGAAGGACUCCACGACUCAAAAUAAGAAGAGAAAGGCCAAGUCAUCAGCUGCUACACCAACCAAGAAGCAGAUCAACGAGUAACUCUUCCCACACAAAUAAAGUUGUUAGCACUCCGAGCACACUGGAGAUCUGUCUACAAGAACAGAUCAAUUCAGCUUGAGAACCCAAAGCAAAAAAGUAGUACUGCGAACUUGACUACCGUCCUAGCCAGCAAGUGCUCUCGACGUACUGCAAGUUAAAUAGUUGUUAAUUAACUAUGUAUAAUUCUCUCAGAUGCACUCCUCCUGUAAUAAUCUGCUUUCUAGAGUUGACCACUCUGAAUGUUAUGUAUAUUAUUGACCUAAUUACUGUUCCAAGCUUUCA